GGCGAACGCUGGCGGCGUGCUUAACACAUGCAAGUCGAACGGAAAGGCCCUGCUUUUGUGGGGUGCUCGAGUGGCGAACGGGUGAGUAACACGUGAGUAACCUGCCCUUGACUUUGGGAUAACUUCAGGAAACUGGGGCUAAUACCGGAUAGGAGCUCCUGCUGCAUGGUGGGGGUUGGAAAGUUUCGGCGGUUGGGGAUGGACUCGCGGCUUAUCAGCUUGUUGGUGGGGUAGUGGCUUACCAAGGCUUUGACGGGUAGCCGGCCUGAGAGGGUGACCGGCCACAUUGGGACUGAGAUACGGCCCAGACUCCUACGGGAGGAAGCAGUGGGGAAUAUUGCACAAUGGGCGGAAGCCUGAUGCAGCAACGCCGCGUGCGGGAUGACGGCCUUCGGGUUGUAAACCGCUUUCGCCUGUGACGAAGCGUGAGUGACGGUAAUGGGUAAAGAAGCACCGGCUAACUACGUG
RNAcentral lists this ribosomal RNA (468 nucleotides) under uncultured bacterium. Its description in RNAcentral is "partial 16S ribosomal RNA". It matches the Rfam family "Bacterial small subunit ribosomal RNA", at positions 28 to 507 of the family's 1533-position model. The record is from RNAcentral.